UACUGAUCAUGCUGAUAUACUGGAAGUUCAGCAAUAAUUUUUUGUCAAGGAUUCUUUAAGACCCAAAAGCUAUUGAGAAAUCUUGGUCUAAGGAGAAGAAAAGAGAGCCGAAGAUUGAAGCUUGAAGAAGUCCAGCGUUUCAGAUCAGAUGAGGAGCACUGGCUGGUAAAUGAAGAAGGAGAAGGAGCAACUGAAGAGGCAGUAGACAAUCCAAACGGAUCUAGUAUCAUGGAAACCAAGUCAGUGGAGGAUCUACUGGAGUGGCAUGGUCAGCUUUGUUGUGCUUUGAUAAGAGGGUCAACUCAGAUUCUCCAAGAAGCAGGCACCAAGACAGAAUUAGAUGUGAAAGAAAUACACUCAGAGAAAUGCUCUUGAAGGAUAAAGACGCCAAGGAGCAAGAGGAACUGUAAAAACCUCCAGAUCAUGUUGCUGUUUUCAAUAGUUCUUUAUAUAGAACUAAAUGAAAUUGUCUGAGUUUUGACAAUUAUAAUAUUUUAUUUCUGAUUAAUCAGAAAAUAGUUUGCCAUAAAAAUUUAUCACUUCUGAUAUUAGCACAUAAAUUUGUUUUUAUUGUAAUUUCAAAACUAAUGUCAAGACUGAGCAAAUCAUAAGAUGGAAGCACCUGUGAGUGCCUGGGACCCUCAAGAUCAUCAAAUCCAGCUUUCCCUGCAGAGAUGGUCUUUCAACUUUUGCCUGAACAUCAUCCUUGUGAGGGAAAUCGUUUCAUCACAAAGCAAUCCAGUUUACUACUGGAACACUGCAAUUAUUUGAAGAUUUUUGGCAUCACAUGUCACAACAUUGCUUCAUAUGAAUUGGUACUUAAAAGAAAACUCGACGCCAUAGAACUACAAAAUUAAAUCCAGGAAGAACCUCAGAGACGAUCUUCUUCCAACAUCCUCUUUCUCAGAUAAGGAAAUUAAGGUUUUAAAAGAUCUUGUGCCAAAAGUCACACAGUUGACUUGUGGCAGUUAAGAUUAAAUUUUAAAAUUCCUAAUGCAAUGUUUUGUUUUGUUUUGUUUUCCUGCAAAGUGUGACUGAGCUUGUUCUCCCUACCCAUCAUCCACUUGUUUCUUAAGCUAAGUGCAAAAUUUUACAUUUAUCCUUUUGUACAUGCAAUUUAGACUUUGUGAGCUCUCUGAAUCACCAGCCAUAGGAGUCUUUAUAAUGAUUAGGUGAAGAGAAUUCGAAAGUGGGCUAGUAAAAUACCCUGAAUCAUCAUAUUAAAAUGAUUUUCUGAUCCCAAAUGCUGUUUAGUCCCACUUUUCUCCCAAGGGCAGCCCCUGUGUUCUGCUCUGACUGGGCCCGUUCUUUUGCCUUACCUACUUUCUUGA
Molecule: long non-coding RNA, 1331 nt
Filed under: Homo sapiens (human)
Lineage: Eukaryota; Metazoa; Chordata; Mammalia; Primates; Hominidae
Description: HSALNT0337163
Source: RNAcentral